ACUAAGCGUACACGGUGGAUGCCCUGGCAGUCAGAGGCGAUGAAGGACGUGCUAAUCUGCGAUAAGCGUCGGUAAGGUGAUAUGAACCGUUAUAACCGGCGAUUUCCGAAUGGGGAAACCCAGUGUGAUUCGUCACACUAUCAUUAACUGAAUCCAUAGGUUAAUGAGGCGAACCGGGGGAACUGAAACAUCUAAGUACCCGAGGAAAAGAAAUCAACCGAGAUUCCCCCAGUAGCGGCGAGCGAACGGGGAGCAGCCCAGAGCCUGAAUCAGUGUGUGUGUUAGUGGAAGCGUCUGGAAAGGCGUGCGAUACAGGGUGACAGCCCCGUACACAAAAAUGCACAUACUGUGAGCUCGAUGAGUAGGGCGGGACACGUGGUAUCCUGUCUGAAUAUGGGGGGACCAUCCUCCAAGGCUAAAUACUCCUGACUGACCGAUAGUGAACCAGUACCGUGAGGGAAAGGCGAAAAGAACCCCGGCGAGGGGAGUGAAAAAGAACCUGAAACCGUGUACGUACAAGCAGUGGGAGCACGCUUAGGCGUGUGACUGCGUACCUUUUGUAUAAUGGGUCAGCGACUUAUAUUCUGUAGCAAGGUUAACCGAAUAGGGGAGCCGAAGGGAAACCGAGUCUUAACUGGGCGUUAAGUUGCAGGGUAUAGACCCGAAACCCGGUGAUCUAGCCAUGGGCAGGUUGAAGGUUGGGUAACACUAACUGGAGGACCGAACCGACUAAUGUUGAAAAAUUAGCGGAUGACUUGUGGCUGGGGGUGAAAGGCCAAUCAAACCGGGAGAUAGCUGGUUCUCCCCGAAAGCUAUUUAGGUAGCGCCUCGUGAAUUCAUCUCCGGGGGUAGAGCACUGUUUCGGCAAGGGGGUCAUCCCGACUUACCAACCCGAUGCAAACUGCGAAUACCGGAGAAUGUUAUCACGGGAGACACACGGCGGGUGCUAACGUCCGUCGUGAAGAGGGAAACAACCCAGACCGCCAGCUAAGGUCCCAAAGUCAUGGUUAAGUGGGAAACGAUGUGGGAAGGCCCAGACAGCCAGGAUGUUGGCUUAGAAGCAGCCAUCAUUUAAAGAAAGCGUAAUAGCUCACUGGUCGAGUCGGCCUGCGCGGAAGAUGUAACGGGGCUAAACCAUGCACCGAAGCUGCGGCAGCGACGCUUAUGCGUUGUUGGGUAGGGGAGCGUUCUGUAAGCCUGUGAAGGUGUGCUGUGAGGUAUGCUGGAGGUAUCAGAAGUGCGAAUGCUGACAUAAGUAACGAUAAAGCGGGUGAAAAGCCCGCUCGCCGGAAGACCAAGGGUUCCUGUCCAACGUUAAUCGGGGCAGGGUGAGUCGACCCCUAAGGCGAGGCCGAAAGGCGUAGUCGAUGGGAAACAGGUUAAUAUUCCUGUACUUGGUGUUACUGCGAAGGGGGGACGGAGAAGGCUAUGUUGGCCGGGCGACGGUUGUCCCGGUUUAAGCGUGUAGGCUGGUUUUCCAGGCAAAUCCGGAAAAUCAAGGCCGAGGCGUGAUGACGAGGCACUACGGUGCUGAAGCAACAAAUGCCCUGCUUCCAGGAAAAGCCUCUAAGCAUCAGGUAACAUCAAAUCGUACCCCAAACCGACACAGGUGGUCAGGUAGAGAAUACCAAGGCGCUUGAGAGAACUCGGGUGAAGGAACUAGGCAAAAUGGUGCCGUAACUUCGGGAGAAGGCACGCUGAUACGUAGGUGAAGCGACUUGCUCGUGGAGCUGAAAUCAGUCGAAGAUACCAGCUGGCUGCAACUGUUUAUUAAAAACACAGCACUGUGCAAACACGAAAGUGGACGUAUACGGUGUGACGCCUGCCCGGUGCCGGAAGGUUAAUUGAUGGGGUUAGCGCAAGCGAAGCUCUUGAUCGAAGCCCCGGUAAACGGCGGCCGUAACUAUAACGGUCCUAAGGUAGCGAAAUUCCUUGUCGGGUAAGUUCCGACCUGCACGAAUGGCGUAAUGAUGGCCAGGCUGUCUCCACCCGAGACUCAGUGAAAUUGAACUCGCUGUGAAGAUGCAGUGUACCCGCGGCAAGACGGAAAGACCCCGUGAACCUUUACUAUAGCUUGACACUGAACAUUGAGCCUUGAUGUGUAGGAUAGGUGGGAGGCUUUGAAGUGUGGACGCCAGUCUGCAUGGAGCCGACCUUGAAAUACCACCCUUUAAUGUUUGAUGUUCUAACGUGGACCCGUGAUCCGGGUUGCGGACAGUGUCUGGUGGGUAGUUUGACUGGGGCGGUCUCCUCCUAAAGAGUAACGGAGGAGCACGAAGGUUGGCUAAUCCUGGUCGGACAUCAGGAGGUUAGUGCAAUGGCAUAAGCCAGCUUGACUGCGAGCGUGACGGCGCGAGCAGGUGCGAAAGCAGGUCAUAGUGAUCCGGUGGUUCUGAAUGGAAGGGCCAUCGCUCAACGGAUAAAAGGUACUCCGGGGAUAACAGGCUGAUACCGCCCAAGAGUUCAUAUCGACGGCGGUGUUUGGCACCUCGAUGUCGGCUCAUCACAUCCUGGGGCUGAAGUAGGUCCCAAGGGUAUGGCUGUUCGCCAUUUAAAGUGGUACGCGAGCUGGGUUUAGAACGUCGUGAGACAGUUCGGUCCCUAUCUGCCGUGGGCGCUGGAGAACUGAGGGGGGCUGCUCCUAGUACGAGAGGACCGGAGUGGACGCAUCACUGGUGUUCGGGUUGUCAUGCCAAUGGCACUGCCCGGUAGCUAAAUGCGGAAGAGAUAAGUGCUGAAAGCAUCUAAGCACGAAACUUGCCCCGAGAUGAGUUCUCCCUGACCCUUUAAGGGUCCUGAAGGAACGUUGAAGACGACGACGUUGAUAGGCCGGGUGUGUAAGCGCAGCGAUGCGUUGAGCUAACCGGUACUAAUGAACCGUGAGGCUUAACC
RNAcentral lists this ribosomal RNA (2892 nucleotides) under Shigella boydii. RNAcentral's name for it is "bacterial LSU rRNA". It matches the Rfam family "Bacterial large subunit ribosomal RNA". Lineage: Bacteria; Pseudomonadati; Pseudomonadota; Gammaproteobacteria; Enterobacterales; Enterobacteriaceae. The record is from RNAcentral.